RNAcentral lists this non-coding RNA (774 nucleotides) under Junonia oenone. The record is from RNAcentral. Lineage: Eukaryota; Metazoa; Arthropoda; Insecta; Lepidoptera; Nymphalidae.
AUAAAAUAAUUAUGUUUUUGGAAAUUUAUUAUAAAUUUAUUUUACAUAUAAAUUUUAGUAUAUAAUUUUAAUUAUUUAAAUAAUAAUUAAUUUAUUUUGGUAGUAAUUAAUAUUAAAAAUUUAAGAGAUUAAGAUUUAGUAAUAUAAAAAUUAAUAACUAAUUUUGUGCCAGCAGUUGCGGUUAAACAAAAGUUAAAUUAAAUUAUUUCAGUAUAUAAUAAAUAAUAAAAUUAUUAAAAUAAAUAUUAAAUUAUUAAGUGAAAUUUUAAUUUAAUUAAAUUUUAUUUUAAAUUUAUGAUUUAAUAAAUUUUAAUAUAAACUAGGAUUAGAUACCCUAUUAUUAAAAAUUUAAUUUAUAAUACUAAAAUAGUAAAUAAUAAUUUAUUGAAACUUAAAUAACAUGGCGGUAUUUUAGUUCAUUUAGAGGAAUCUGUCUAAUAAUUGAUAAUCCACGAAUAAAUUUACUUAAUUUAUAAUUUUGUAUAUCAUUGUUAAAAAAAUAUUUUUUAGGAAAAAUAAUAUUUAAAAAUUAUAAUAAAAAAUUAAAUCAGAUCAAGAUGCAGAAUAUAAUUAAGAAUAUGAUGGAUUACAUUAAAUAUAUUUAUAUGGAUAAUUUUAUUGUAAUAAAAAUUUGAAGGUGGAUUUAAAUGUAAUUUUAAUUAAUUUAUUAAAAUGAUUAAAAAUUAAAAUAUGUACAUAUUGCCCGUCACUUUCAUUUAAAAAUUGAAAUAAGUCGUAACAAAGUAGAGGUACUGGAAAGUGUUUCUAGAAAGA